GACGAACGCUGGCGGCGUGCUUAACACAUGCAAGUCGAACGGAAAGGCCCUGCUUUUGUGGGGUGCUCGAGUGGCGAACGGGUGAGUAACACGUGAGUAACCUGCCCUUGACUUUGGGAUAACUUCAGGAAACUGGGGCUAAUACCGGAUAGGAGCUCCUGCUGCAUGGUGGGGGUUGGAAAGUUUCGGCGGUUGGGGAUGGACGCGCGGCUUAUCAGCUUGUUGGUGGGGUAGCGGCUUACCAAGGCUUUGACGGGUAGCCGGCCUGAGAGGGUGACCGGCCACAUUGGGACUGAGAUACGGCCCAGACUCCUACGGGAGGCAGCAGUGGGGAAUAUUGCACAAUGGGCGGAAGCCUGAUGCAGCAACGCCGCGUGCGGGAUGACGGCCUUCGGGUUGUAAACCGCUUUCGCCUGUGACGAAGCGUGAGUGACGGUAAUGGGUAAAGAAGCACCGGCUAACUACGUG
RNAcentral lists this ribosomal RNA (468 nucleotides) under uncultured bacterium. RNAcentral describes it as "partial 16S ribosomal RNA". It matches the Rfam family "Bacterial small subunit ribosomal RNA", at positions 28 to 507 of the family's 1533-position model. The record is from RNAcentral.